AGAAUAUUGCACAAUGGACGAAAGUCUGAUGCAGCGACACCGCGUGAAGGAUGAAGGCCCUAGGGUUGUAAACUUCUUUUAUUAGGGAAUAGCAAGGAAGGUACCUAAUGAAUAAGCAACGGCUAACUACGUGCCAGCAGCCGCGGUAAUACGUAGGUUGCAAACGUUGUCCGGAAUCACUGGGCGUAAAGGGUCCGUAGGCGGUUUGAUAAGUCUCAUAUGAAAGCUUCAAGCUCAACUUGGAGAUGUUGUGAGAUACUGUCAGACUAGAGACUGUUAGAGGUAAGUGGAAUUCCAGGUGUAGUGGUGAAAUGCGUAGAUAUCUGGAGGAACACCAGUGGCGAAAGCGACUUACUGGGACAGUUCUGACGCUAAGGGACGAAAGCGUGGGGAGCGAACCGGAUUAGAUACCCGGGUAGUCCACGCUGUAAACGAUGAUUGCUAGGUUUUCGGGGCAUCGACCCCUCGUGAGCCGAAGUUAACGCGUUAAGCAAUCCGCCUGAGUAGUACGGCCGCAAGGCUAAAACUCAAAGGAAUUGACGGGGGACCGCACAAGCAGCGGAGCGUGUGGUUUAAUUCGAUGGUAAGCGAAGAACCUUACCAGGGUUUGACAUGUAAGUAGUACUGAACCGAAAGGGGAUGGACCCGCAAGGGAGCUUACACAGGUGUUGCAUGGUUGUCGUCAGCUCGUGCCGUGAGGUGUUGGGUUAAGUCCCGCAACGAGCGCAACCCUCUUUGUUAGUUGCACUCUCUAACGAUACUGCCCUUAAAAGGGAGGAAGGUGGGGAUGACGUCAAAUCAUCAUGGCUCUUACACCCUGGGCUACACACACGCUACAAUGGCAAGUACAGACGGUCGCCAACCCGCGAGGGGGAGCUAAUCCGAUAAAACUUGUCUCAGUUGGGAUUGCAGGCUGAAAUUCGCCUGCAUGAACGUGGAGUUGCUAGUAAACGCAGGUCAGCACACUGCGUUGAAUACGUUCCCGGUCCUUGUACACACCGCCCGUCACAUCAUGGAAGUUGGUAACACUUGAAGUCAUUGCGCUAACCCUUUUGGGAGGCAGAUGCCGAGAGUGGGACUGAUGACUGGGAUGAAGUCGUAACAAGGUAGCUGUACCGGAAGGUGCGGCUG
Molecule: ribosomal RNA, 1131 nt
Filed under: marine metagenome
Description: bacterial SSU rRNA
Rfam family: Bacterial small subunit ribosomal RNA
Source: RNAcentral